UACGAAGGGGGCUAGCGUUGCUCGGAAUCACUGGGCGUAAAGCGCACGUAGGCGGAUUGUUAAGUCAGGGGUGAAAUCCUGGAGCUCAACUCCAGAACUGCCUUUGAUACUGGCGAUCUUGAGUCCGGGAGAGGUGAGUGGAACUGCGAGUGUAGAGGUGAAAUUCGUAGAUAUUCGCAAGAACAUCAGUGGCGAAGGCGGCUCACUGGCCCGGUACUGACGCUGAGGUGCGAAAGCGUGGGGAGCAAACAGG
Molecule: ribosomal RNA, 253 nt
Filed under: uncultured bacterium
Lineage: Bacteria
Description: partial 16S ribosomal RNA
Rfam family: Bacterial small subunit ribosomal RNA
Source: RNAcentral